Molecule: ribosomal RNA, 357 nt
Filed under: uncultured Pseudomonas sp.
Lineage: Bacteria; Pseudomonadati; Pseudomonadota; Gammaproteobacteria; Pseudomonadales; Pseudomonadaceae
Description: bacterial SSU rRNA
Rfam family: Bacterial small subunit ribosomal RNA
Source: RNAcentral
AGAAGCUUGCUUCUCUUGAGAGCGGCGGACGGGUGAGUAAAGCCUAGGAAUCUGCCUGGUAGUGGGGGAUAACGUUCGGAAACGGACGCUAAUACCGCAUACGUCCUACGGGAGAAAGCAGGGGACCUUCGGGCCUUGCGCUAUCAGAUGAGCCUAGGUCGGAUUAGCUAGUUGGUGAGGUAAUGGCUCACCAAGGCGACGAUCCGUAACUGGUCUGAGAGGAUGAUCAGUCACACUGGAACUGAGACACGGUCCAGACUCCUACGGGAGGCAGCAGUGGGGAAUAUUGGACAAUGGGCGAAAGCCUGAUCCAGCCAUGCCGCGUGUGUGAAGAAGGUCUUCGGAUUGUAAAGCACU